This 426-nucleotide long non-coding RNA is filed under the name Homo sapiens (human). RNAcentral describes it as "HSALNT0050009". The record is from RNAcentral. Lineage: Eukaryota; Metazoa; Chordata; Mammalia; Primates; Hominidae.
AGCGAGCACGGGGAUUCCCCUCCCCUCGCCACUUUCCAUCGCUGCUGGCUCGUGGCCACCAGCAGGGAGGUGGGUGUAUUGCCAAGGGCACCCGGAGGACCCCGUGGUGAUGGGGACGUUCUGCAGCUUCGCUGUCAGGGGAUGCAGGAGCCUUCGCUUGUGCCCACAUUGUGCAGCCUUUGAUAGGCACACAUUAGCCAGAAACGGGGACUCAGGAUGGGAUCGAGGUGUCACAUCAAAGUCAUUAACCUGGUUGUGACGUUGUCCUGUGGUUUUCCAAACUGUUAUCAUUCAGAGAGACUGAGCAGAGUGUAUGAGGAAACAUCUGUGUAAUUUCUUACAACUGCAAGUAAAUCUACAAUUAUCUCAAUUGUAAAUGAUACAAUACUCAACCAAAACAUACAACCAUCAGCCAGGUGUGGUGGC